UAAAGUUGUUGCAGUUAAAAAGUUCGUAGUUGAAUUUCGGGGUCAGCAGGUUGGUCGUGCCACUGGUAUGCACUGGCUUCGCUGAUUCCUCCUUUCUGAAGAACUGUAAUGUCAUUAAUUUGGUGUUGCAGGGAAACAGGACUGUUACUUUGAAAAAAUUAGAGUGUUUAAAGCAGGCUAACGCUUGAAUACAUUAGCAUGGAAUAAUGAAAUAGGACGUUCGAUCCUAUUUUGUUGGUUUCUAGGAUUGACGUAAUGAUUAAUAGGG
This 268-nucleotide ribosomal RNA is filed under the name uncultured Glomus. RNAcentral describes it as "partial small subunit ribosomal RNA". It matches the Rfam family "Eukaryotic small subunit ribosomal RNA", at positions 605 to 877 of the family's 1831-position model. The record is from RNAcentral. Lineage: Eukaryota; Fungi; Glomeromycota; Glomeromycetes; Glomerales; Glomeraceae.